CUAGAAGGGCCGCACUUCGGUCCGGGUGGCUUGCCGCCCGGUGAAAAGGGAACAACGGUGCGGCAUCGCCUGAUGCCAAGUCCGUGACUGCCCCCGCAACUGUAGGCGGAUAGCGAAGCCGGAACAUGCCACUGCCGCGCCAUGCGGUGGGAAGGCACGGCCAAGCAAUGACCCGCAAGUCAGGAGACCUGCCGAGGCGAUCACCCUGUC
RNAcentral lists this non-coding RNA (210 nucleotides) under Roseovarius halotolerans. The record is from RNAcentral. Lineage: Bacteria; Pseudomonadati; Pseudomonadota; Alphaproteobacteria; Rhodobacterales; Roseobacteraceae.